CAAAGUAUGUGUGAGGGUUUGGUUUGCUGUUGACAGCCUUUUAGAGAGUUUUUUUCUUUAUAUGGAACCCAAACCUCUCUCUCCUUAACUUCCACCCAAGUGCCGUAAUCUCGCACUGAGACAACACAGGCCCUAAAGGCAACCAGCUGUCGUGGAACUUGCUGGGGGUGCCUUCAAGGAAAUGACUGAGGAAACAGAGAUGAUCAGAGGCCAUGACCAUCACUGAAACCUGGGGAGAAUGCCGGAUUAUUAUGGGAACUGUGGCCUGAAACAACUACAGCCAGGCAGCUGGUUUGAUUUCUGGGGAUUCAAAGAGAUUGGGGAAGCCAAGGCCUGCUUCUGCACGUUGUAGACGUGGGAAACAAAGCAGACAAAAUCUCUGCCCUAACACUGCUUACGUUCUACUGGAGGGGACAAGAAUAAGGUAAGGAAAACAUUUAGUGUGUCAGCUGGCAUACACUGAGGAGGAGAAGAGUGUAAGCCCACGAGGAAGGGGAUGUUAUAGGAAGCGUGGGGGAACGAACUUCAGCUGGAUCACACCAGAGGAGCCUUCCCUCUGGGUAAAGACCGGAGCAAAUGUGCGAGGUGGCCAUGUGGACAGUUUUUGGCACAGCAGUCCCAAAUGGGGGAAUAUUUCCGGCUUGUCUGCGCCGCAGUGGAGAAGCCCGUGUGGUGGUCGCAAAGGGGAUGAGGGGCAGAGCGGUGGGAGGUGAGGACAGAGCAGCCAUCGGGUCCCUAACUGUGUGUGUCUGGUAUGUUUCCAUGAAUGUGUGUGCCUGUGUGUCUUUGUGUAUGUCCGUGUAUUUAUGUGUCUGUGUAUAUAUCUGAGUGUGUAUCUGAGUGUAUCCAUUCAUGUGUCUCUGCCUGUGUGUCUAUAUGUGUUGGUGUGUGUAUCUGUCUGUCUAUGCGUAUUUGUGUGUCUGUCUGGCGUGUGCCCAUACUAAAGUAUGCAUGCCCAUACACAUGAAAAGUCACGUGUGUUUAUGAAUGAGUAUGGGGGGGCUGGUAUAUAUAAGUGUGGGUAGCUCAUGGAGGGCUCUGUACAUCCCAAUAAUGACCUUGGCUUUUAUUCUGAGUGCAGUGGGAAGACAUUGGCGGUUUUGGGGAAGAGAAGCGACAUCCGACCGAGGUUUUAGGAACACUCUGAGAAUAGCUUGAAGGGAGUCAGUGCGGACACAAGGACACCAUUGACAGGCUAGUACAAUAAUCCAUCUGAGCAAUAAUGGUGUUUUUGGUCGGGCUGGUGGAAGUGGGGUGGCAAGAAACGGUCACGUCUGCAUUUGGGAUCCAUUGCGAGGACAGAGCUGACAAGAUCUGCUGAUGCCUGGUUGCGAUGUAGGAGUGAAUGAGAGAAGUCAGGAAGAGAGGAGGUUUUGGUCGCAGCCACUGGAAGACUGGAGUUGCUGGUUUUCCGAGAUGAUGAAAGGUCUAGGGGUGACUCUCAAGUUUGGUUUUAGACUCGUCGAGUUUGGGGUGACCAGUGGACACUCAGGAGAAGAAACCAAAUGGGGAGUUGAGUCUACAAGUCUGCAGGAGUUCAGGGCAGAUUUCAGGCUUAAGAUGUACACUUCGGAGUCACCUGUGAGUGGAUGCCGUUUAAACCACGAAAACAGCCAGGUCGUCGUGGGCUUACCGUAGAUAAAAAAAGAGACUGUCUAGAAGACAAAGAGGGACCGACAAAAUACACUGAGAAGGUCCAGUCGUGUAGGUCAAAGACAAACCAGGGAGAGAAUUCUGGAAGCCGUGCGAAGAGACUUAGUCUAAGGAGUGAGACGUGCGGGGAGUGAUGGUGUCACGUGCUGCUGAAGAGACAAGCUGAAUAAAGACUGGAGAAAGAUGGCCACGG
Long non-coding RNA from Phyllostomus discolor (pale spear-nosed bat), 1846 nucleotides. RefSeq lists it as uncharacterized. The transcript is spliced from 3 exons. NCBI's taxonomy places the organism in Eukaryota, Metazoa, Chordata, Mammalia, Chiroptera, Phyllostomidae. The record is from RefSeq and is a predicted model, not a curated record.